CCUACGGGACGGCAGCAGUAGGGAAUCUUCCGCAAUGGGCGAAAGCCUGACGGAGCAACGCCGCGUGAGUGAUGAAGGUCUUGGAUCGUAAAACUCUGUUAUUAGGGAAGAACAAACGUGUAAGUAACUGUGCACGUCUUGACGGUACCUAAUCAGAAAGCCACGGCUAACUACGUGCCAGCAGCCGCGGU
This 191-nucleotide ribosomal RNA is filed under the name uncultured Staphylococcus sp. Its description in RNAcentral is "partial 16S ribosomal RNA". It matches the Rfam family "Bacterial small subunit ribosomal RNA", at positions 338 to 521 of the family's 1533-position model. The record is from RNAcentral. Lineage: Bacteria; Bacillati; Bacillota; Bacilli; Caryophanales; Staphylococcaceae.